RNAcentral lists this ribosomal RNA (413 nucleotides) under uncultured microorganism. RNAcentral describes it as "bacterial SSU rRNA". It matches the Rfam family "Archaeal small subunit ribosomal RNA", at positions 330 to 745 of the family's 1478-position model. The record is from RNAcentral.
GUGCACCAGGCGAGAAUCCUUCGCAAUGCGGGAAACCGCGACGAGGGGACUCCCAGUGCCUACGCUCAGCGUAGGCUGUUCCCGAGCCUAGAAAGCUCGGGGAGUAAGGGCUGGGUAAGACGGGUGCCAGCCGCCGCGGUAAUACCCGCAGCCCGAGUGGUGGCCACUAUUAUUGGGCCUAAAGCGUCCGUAGCCGGCCCGGUAAAUGCCUGGGUAAAUCGUGAGGCCUAACCUCACGAAUUCCGGGUAGACUGCCGGGCUAGGGACCGGAGGAGGGAGAGGGUACUCCAGGGGUAGGGGUGAAAUCCUGUAAUCCCUGGAGGACCACCGGUGGCGAAGGCGCUCUCCUAGGACGGGUCCGACGGUGAGGGACGAAAGCCAGGGGAGCGAACCGGAUUAGAUACCCCUGUAGU